CGCCCGGGGACUACGAGUCUAACUUAAAACCCAAAGGAUUUGACGGUGUCCUACCCACCUAGAGGAGCCUGUCCCAUAAACGAUAAUCCCCGAUUCACCCAACCCCUUCUUACUCAGCCUAUAUACCUCCGUCGUAAGCCCACCAUGUAAAUGAGAGUAGGCCAAACGGGUUUACUUCCCCCCCACGUCAGGUCAAGGUGUAGCCUAUGAAGAGGUGCUAGAUGGGCUACAAUCUCUACCAUAGAACAAACGAAAAGUCAAAUGAAGAUUAACUAUGAAGGUGGAUUUAGCAGUAAAAGGAGAAUAAAACUCCCCUUUUAACUAGGCACUAGGACGUGC
This 339-nucleotide ribosomal RNA is filed under the name Phrynobatrachus auritus (eared river frog). RNAcentral's name for it is "partial 12S ribosomal RNA". It matches the Rfam family "Bacterial small subunit ribosomal RNA", at positions 870 to 1384 of the family's 1533-position model. The record is from RNAcentral. Lineage: Eukaryota; Metazoa; Chordata; Amphibia; Anura; Phrynobatrachidae.